Molecule: long non-coding RNA, 2062 nt
Filed under: Ananas comosus (pineapple)
Lineage: Eukaryota; Viridiplantae; Streptophyta; Magnoliopsida; Poales; Bromeliaceae
Description: long non-coding RNA (ACOM_LNC014650)
Source: RNAcentral
AACUUAACAUAUAUAUAUAUAGUAAACGAGCCGUUUUACUACCGAUUUGUUUUCGAUGAUAGAACUUUCAAAUUGACGAUCGGCUCCGUUGAACAUGAUUUAUACCACUUGAAGUGUUUGGAAAUCAAAUUUCAUAUCUUUCGACAUCAUUUGCCUAGUGAUCAAAGAGUUGCAAAAUUUGUAAUUUUAAUGGUCGAUAAGAGGCGUUUUCUCGUUUCACGGCGUAAAGAUACCCAGAUCAAUUGAAUUUUUGUUAGAAAAUUCUUUAAACUAUUUAAAACAAGAUCUAUACUCUUGAUCUUGAUUACAAGACUUCUAUUAUCAUUUUUUAAAGAGUAUUCAUUUUCAGCCAUUCAAUUUUCUGUUCACUUGAUGGAUAAAAGAACAAUAUCGAAAGUGCGUGAAAUUUGAUUUCUAGGUAGUUUAAAUGGUUUAGAUCAUAUUUAACGGAGCUGAUCGUCAAUUUGGAAGCUCUAUCAUCGAAAACAAAUCGGUAGUAAAACGGCUCGUUUACUACCGAUAGUAUUCUAGCUCAACUCUCUCUCUAUAUAUAUAUAGAGAGAGAGAGAGAGAGAGUUAGGUUGGUAUACUAUCGGUAGCACGGAAGCCUCCGUGCUACCAAGUUGUUUUCAAUAUUGCGGCUUCCAAAUCGACAAUCGGCAAUCGACAAUUCGCUCCGUUAGACUUUCUAUAUUAUUAAAAGUAUUUGAAAAUUAAAUUUCAUAAUUUUUCGAUAUCAUCUACCUAUCAAAUGAGUAGUCUAAAAAUAAACGGCUGAAAAUAAAAAUCGCAUAAAAAAUGAUGAAAAAAGACUUGAAUCUAAUAGUGUUUUAAUUUUCUAUAAAAUUUCAUUAGAUUUGGAUUAUUUUACACCGUUAAAUUCACAAACGCAUCACAUUGACCAUUAAAAUUCUCAAUUUUGAGACCUUUUGAUCAUUAGACAAAUGAUGUCGAAAAAUUAUGAAAUUUAAUUUUCAAAUAUCUAACAAAGCCGAUCGUCGAUUUGGAAGCCACAUUAUUGAAAACAACUUGGUAGCACGGAGGCCUCCGUGCUACCGAUAGUUACCGCCUAGUGCUCUCGUCUCUCUCUCUCUCCUCUCUACUCGGUUCUCUCCUCGCUCGCUCUCUCAUCUCCUUAUCUCCGCCUCUGCUCCUAUCUCCAGUUCUGCAUUUCUGCUCUCCCGUCAAAAGACUCAAGGUCCUAUCCGGCCUCGAUCACUCUCAUGUGAUCUCAGAACAUUCGUCGCUCUCACGCCAGUCCCCAGAGUUGUGACAGCCGUCAAUCACUGAUCAGGGUUCGCCCAACCCUCCCCUCUCAAUCAUCUCAGGAAUCAGUCCACCACAAAGUACGUCACUGCACGAUCUCUCUCUAUUAUAUAUAUAUAUAUAUAUAUUAUAUGCUGGCUACUACUAUACUCUUAUGAGUAUAGAUCUUUUCUUGUACUCAUAAAUUUUUAACCCUUGAUUGAUGGGAUAUGUGGUUAGGAUGAUGGUGGUCCCCACUUAGAAUGAUAGUGGUCCCCCAGGGUUGAGUGUGUAGUUGGUUGAAUAAUAUGAUCUAACGGGUGAAAAUGAUCAAUGGAAUAAAUUUGAGGGCCAAAAUUUUAUGAGUAUAAGGGAGACAAUACUCAUAAAAGUAUAGUAGCCGGACUAUAUAUAUAUAUCAAAAUUUAUAAUUUUAAUGGUCAAUAAGAGGCGUUUUCUCGUUUAACGGCGUAAAGAUAUCCAAAUCAAUUGAAUUUUUGUUAGAAAAUUCUUUAAACUAUUUAAAACAGGAUCUAUACUCUUGAUCUUGAUUAUAAGACUCCUAUCAUCAUUUUUUAAAGAAUAUUCAUUUUCAGCCAUUCAUUUUUUUGUUCACUUGAUGGAUAAAAGAACAAUAUCGAAAGCGCGUGAAAUUUGAUUUAUAGGUAGUUUAAAUGGUUUAGAUCAUAUUUAACGGAGCCGAUCGUCAAUUUGGAAGCUCUAUUAUUGAAAACAAAUAGGUAGUAAAACUGCUCGUUUAUUACUAAUAGUAUUCUAACUCAACUAUAUAUAUAUAUAUAUAUAUAUAUGCAAGCAU